Molecule: small nuclear RNA, 21 nt
Filed under: Arabidopsis thaliana (thale cress)
Lineage: Eukaryota; Viridiplantae; Streptophyta; Magnoliopsida; Brassicales; Brassicaceae
Description: snRNA_05334
Source: RNAcentral
CAUCAAAAUUAUUUUUGCCAU